UGAGAUAAAGACUGUCAUCUAGCGAAGAAGAAUCUGAACUAACUCUCUCUCUCUCUCUCUCUCUCUCUCUCUCUCUCUCUUUCAGAGAGGCGAUGCCGGACACGCUUCAGCAGCUGCGCUGCGCUAAACUCAGACGCAAAUUCUCCGUCAUCACGUCCGUCAAAAGACUAAACAUGGAGAGUUUCACCGAGGAACUCGAUGAUUUCUUAAAGUGUCCGCAGAAACCGAACACGACCGAGCAGGAGCUAAACAGAAUGAAGCUGCAGUUAUGCUGUAACGCCACAGGAUCAAUAUUCCUCACCAAACGCAACACAGCCGUCAAUCAGACCAUCCCGUAUGAGACGAGCACUAAAAGCACAUACACAAUGAAUGCAGCCAUUCACAACAUGCUGCCUGAGGUGCGUGUGUGUGUGUUAAAAUGUAGCUUUUUUGUCUUUGUUUGAAUACUUCUAUUAAGCAAGGAUGUGUUAAAUUGAUAAAAAAGUGACAGUAGAG
Molecule: long non-coding RNA, 495 nt
Filed under: Sinocyclocheilus grahami
Lineage: Eukaryota; Metazoa; Chordata; Actinopteri; Cypriniformes; Cyprinidae
Description: lncRNA (ENSSGRG00000034924.1)
Source: RNAcentral